This 274-nucleotide ribosomal RNA is filed under the name uncultured bacterium. RNAcentral describes it as "partial 16S ribosomal RNA". It matches the Rfam family "Bacterial small subunit ribosomal RNA", at positions 523 to 796 of the family's 1533-position model. The record is from RNAcentral.
CUACGGAGGGUGCAAGCGUUAAUCGGAAUUACUGGGCGUAAAGCGCGCGUAGGCGGCUGAUUAAGUCGGAUGUGAAAUCCCUGGGCUCAACCUAGGAACUGCAUCCGAUACUGGUCAGCUAGAGUUUUGGAGAGGUAAGUGGAAUUUCCGGUGUAGCGGUGAAAUGCAUAGAGAUCGGAAGGAACACCAGUGGCGAAGGCGACUUACUGGCCAAAAACUGACGCUGAGGUGCGAAAGCGUGGGUAGCGAACAGGAUUAGAAACCCCUGUAGUCC